UACGUAGGGCGCAAGCGUUGUCCGGAAUUAUUGGGCGUAAAGAGCUCGUAGGCGGCCAGUUGCGUCCGCUGUGAAAUCCCGGGGCUUAACCCCGGGCGUGCAGUGGAUACGGGCUGGCUAGAGGCAGGCAGGGGAGAACGGAAUUCCCGGUGUAGCGGUGAAAUGCGCAGAUAUCGGGAGGAACACCGGUGGCGAAGGCAGCUCGCUGGGACGGUACUGACGCUGAGGCGCGAAAGCGUGGGGAGCAAACAGG
RNAcentral lists this ribosomal RNA (253 nucleotides) under uncultured bacterium. RNAcentral's name for it is "partial 16S ribosomal RNA". It matches the Rfam family "Bacterial small subunit ribosomal RNA", at positions 524 to 776 of the family's 1533-position model. The record is from RNAcentral.